This is a long non-coding RNA of Podarcis muralis (Common wall lizard), 1712 nucleotides long. NCBI's taxonomy places the organism in Eukaryota, Metazoa, Chordata, Lepidosauria, Squamata, Lacertidae. The record is from Ensembl.
UAGGCAGGCUGGCAAAGCAGGAACUGAGCACCCUGUCCCUCUUUUGAGCCCAGCAUAGAAACCAAGCAGGUUGCUAGAGGAGGGAAAGUCCCUUCCUCCAUGCCCAGCAUAGAAAUGCAGCUCCCCAUCUUUUUGCCACCUCCCAGUAGACUAUUAUGGUAACUUUUUGGGGGGCGGGGGGGGGGACUGGCAACUUUGGAGGGCUUAUUUACAAGGCAGUAUUAGACUACUCCAGUUACUCUUGCCUCUGUGGACCUGUUGGAUGUAGCCAAAGACUACACUCCAGUGGCGCUUUACCAUAUGUUUACAUGUAGGAAAUAGACUCAGGAUGAAUGCAUGGGACUGUUGUACAGCCUUGGAAUCAUAACAAAUGAUCACACGAGGAAUUCCUUUGAUGUACAGAGUGCUGAUGUACCAAAUUGCUUUUUCUCUGCCUUACAGUCUGAUUGACCUCUGGAAUUUAGUGAAACAUGAAUUUCAGGUCUUCGUGGUUGUUGUUUUUUUAUAUUAUUGCUGUAUCUGAAAGGUGCUCCUUUCACUGGGGAGAGUUCCUGAACAUAUAUAUCUUUUGCUGUGCCAAAAAACAUGAAGACAAAACGUCAAAUGUAUAUAUGAGGAUAACAUCAGAGAACUUUUUACAUUUAAUCCUGAGUUGGUCGUACAAGGCCAACAGCCCAUCCCAUAUAUGUUUACUCAGAAGUAAGUCCCUUGACAUUCAGUGGGAUUUGCUCCUUAGAAAGCAAGUAAAUCUCAGGGAUGUGUGUACUUCUGAGUAAUCAUGCACAGGAUCACGUUGUAACAAGUGGGUCCCAAACACAAAGGAAGUGAUUUUGUUCAGUUUCUGUUUUCACGUGUUUUAGAACCUGUGAUUCUGUUUCGAAUCUGUCAUGCUUCCACCCUUACAGAACUAGAUUCUUGAUGAGAAGAAGCAGAUCUGGUCAUUGAUUUUAUGGGAGCUGUUCAGCACUUAAGACUAUUGCACUUGAUCAGAAGACCAGGAAGAAGAGUUCACCUGUGAUUCUGUUAUUCAUAUCCACAUUUGGGUUACUUUAGCCCUCAGGGUAUGAAACCCACUUUAAUAAUUCCUGUUGCGUACUCCUGGAUGGGAAACAUGCAUCUUUCCCUCAUCUUCAUAAAACCACUUUCCUUCAGACCUUGCGUACUUCUUCUCAGUGGUUGUCUCUCUCCUGUGUAGCACAUUUGUGUUUUUGCAGCCAGUUUGCUCAUUCUGGAUAAAGCCAUAUUUUGUGGUGUUUAGAUGAAACCAAAACUAUAUGUACAGUUACAGAUCUGUAAUAAACCAAGUUCUUUAAGGAACUGGUUCAAAUAAAAUAUGCUGUGUUUUUGUGUAUCGGGUCAUCUCUUUUUCCUGUCUGUCAAUGAUAAUAACACCAUCUGUGCUCUAUGCAUGUCUAGUUUUUCCAGAAAGACUGAGCUUUUCCAGAAGGAUUCCAGAGGGAUGCGUUGUGCCCUUGCCAGAAGUAGAACUUUAACAUUGUAAACGGAAGGGCCUGGAUGUAGGUCUGGAAGGUGCAGCUUGUACAGAAUAUUGUGGUGUGUUUAUCUGCUAAGAAGUACUGGUUACCAGAAGUGCACCACCCCAAUAUGACAUCACUGAACCUGCUGCCUUGUAUAGCUUUAUAGACAACAAUUCUAGGAGUGGAGAAAGACUGCCACUCAGUGGAACGUAAGAAGCUAUCUUAUAUAGAGUC